AGCGCAUACGGUGGAUGCCUUGGCAGUCAGAGGCGAUGAAAGACGUGGUAGCCUGCGAAAAGCUUCGGGGAGUCGGCAAACAGACUUUGAUCCGGAGAUGUCUGAAUGGGGGAACCCAGCCAUCAUAAGAUGGUUAUCUUACGCUGAAUACAUAGGCGUAAGAGGCGAACCAGGGGAACUGAAACAUCUAAGUACCCUGAGGAAAAGAAAUCAACCGAGAUUCCCUUAGUAGUGGCGAGCGAACGGGGACUAGCCCUUAAGUGGCUUUGAGAUUAGCGGAACGCUCUGGAAAGUGCGGCCAUAGUGGGUGAUAGCCCUGUACGCGAAAAUCUCUUAGUCAUGAAAUCGAGUAGGACGGAGCACGAGAAACUUUGUCUGAAUAUGGGGGGACCAUCCUCCAAGGCUAAAUACUACUGACUGACCGAUAGUGAACUAGUACCGUGAGGGAAAGGCGAAAAGAACCCCGGAGAGGGGAGUGAAAUAGAUCCUGAAACCGUAUGCGUACAAGCAGUGGGAGCCCACUUUGUUGGGUGACUGCGUACCUUUUGUAUAAUGGGUCAGCGACUUAUUUUCAGUGGCGAGCUUAACCGAAUAGGGGAGGCGUAGCGAAAGCGAGUCUUAAUAGGGCGUCUAGUCGCUGGGAAUAGACCCGAAACCGGGCGAUCUAUCCAUGGGCAGGUUGAAGGUUGGGUAACACUAACUGGAGGACCGAACCGACUACCGUUGAAAAGUUAGCGGAUGACCUGUGGAUCGGAGUGAAAGGCUAAUCAAGCUCGGAGAUAGCUGGUUCUCCUCGAAAGCUAUUUAGGUAGCGCCUCAUGUAUCACUGUAGGGGGUAGAGCACUGUUUCGGCUAGGGGGUCAUCCCGACUUACCAAACCGAUGCAAACUCCGAAUACCUACAAGUGCCGAGCAUGGGAGACACACGGCGGGUGCUAACGUCCGUCGUGAAAAGGGAAACAACCCAGACCGUCAGCUAAGGUCCCAAAGUUAUGGUUAAGUGGGAAACGAUGUGGGAAGGCUUAGACAGCUAGGAGGUUGGCUUAGAAGCAGCCACCCUUUAAAGAAAGCGUAAUAGCUCACUAGUCGAGUCGGCCUGCGCGGAAGAUGUAACGGGGCUCAAACCAUACACCGAAGCUACGGGUAUCACGUAAGUGAUGCGGUAGAGGAGCGUUCUGUAAGCCUGUGAAGGUGAGUUGAGAAGCUUGCUGGAGGUAUCAGAAGUGCGAAUGCUGACAUGAGUAACGACAAUGGGUGUGAAAAACACCCACGCCGAAAGACCAAGGUUUCCUGCGCAACGUUAAUCGACGCAGGGUUAGUCGGUCCCUAAGGCGAGGCUGAAAAGCGUAGUCGAUGGAAAACAGGUUAAUAUUCCUGUACUUCUGGUUAUUGCGAUGGAGGGACGGAGAAGGCUAGGCCAGCUUGGCGUUGGUUGUCCAAGUUUAAGGUGGUAGGCUGGAAUCUUAGGUAAAUCCGGGAUUCUAAGGCCGAGAGCUGAUGACGAGCUAACUUUUAGUUAGCGAAGUGGUUGAUGCCAUGCUUCCAAGAAAAGCUUCUAAGCUUCAGGUAACCAGGAACCGUACCCCAAACCGACACAGGUGGUUGGGUAGAGAAUACCAAGGCGCUUGAGAGAACUCGGGUGAAGGAACUAGGCAAAAUGGCACCGUAACUUCGGGAGAAGGUGCGCCGGUGAGGGUGAAGGACUUGCUCCGUAAGCUCAUGCCGGUCGAAGAUACCAGGCCGCUGCGACUGUUUAUUAAAAACACAGCACUCUGCAAACACGAAAGUGGACGUAUAGGGUGUGACGCCUGCCCGGUGCCGGAAGGUUAAUUGAUGGGGUUAGCUAACGCGAAGCUCUUGAUCGAAGCCCCGGUAAACGGCGGCCGUAACUAUAACGGUCCUAAGGUAGCGAAAUUCCUUGUCGGGUAAGUUCCGACCUGCACGAAUGGCGUAACGAUGGCGGCGCUGUCUCCACCCGAGACUCAGUGAAAUUGAAAUCGCUGUGAAGAUGCAGUGUAUCCGCGGCUAGACGGAAAGACCCCGUGAACCUUUACUAUAGCUUUGCACUGGACUUUGAAUUUGCUUGUGUAGGAUAGGUGGGAGGCUUUGAAGCGUGGACGCCAGUCUGCGUGGAGCCAUCCUUGAAAUACCACCCUGGCAACUUUGAGGUUCUAACUCAGGUCCGUUAUCCGGAUCGAGGACAGUGUAUGGUGGGUAGUUUGACUGGGGCGGUCUCCUCCUAAAGAGUAACGGAGGAGUACGAAGGUGCGCUCAGACCGGUCGGAAAUCGGUCGUAGAGUAUAAAGGCAAAAGCGCGCUUGACUGCGAGACAGACACGUCGAGCAGGUACGAAAGUAGGUCUUAGUGAUCCGGUGGUUCUGUAUGGAAGGGCCAUCGCUCAACGGAUAAAAGGUACUCCGGGGAUAACAGGCUGAUACCGCCCAAGAGUUCAUAUCGACGGCGGUGUUUGGCACCUCGAUGUCGGCUCAUCACAUCCUGGGGCUGAAGCCGGUCCCAAGGGUAUGGCUGUUCGCCAUUUAAAGUGGUACGCGAGCUGGGUUUAGAACGUCGUGAGACAGUUCGGUCCCUAUCUGCCGUGGACGUUUGAGAUUUGAGAGGGGCUGCUCCUAGUACGAGAGGACCGGAGUGGACGAACCUCUGGUGUUCCGGUUGUCACGCCAGUGGCAUUGCCGGGUAGCUAUGUUCGGAAUAGAUAACCGCUGAAAGCAUCUAAGCGGGAAACUAGCCUCAAGAUGAGAUCUCACUGGAACCUUGA
The sequence is a ribosomal RNA, 2775 nucleotides long. It matches the Rfam family "Bacterial large subunit ribosomal RNA".